Molecule: long non-coding RNA, 1272 nt
Organism: Pecten maximus
Lineage: Eukaryota; Metazoa; Mollusca; Bivalvia; Pectinida; Pectinidae
Exons: 3
Source: RefSeq, a predicted model, not a curated record
CAGGGCGAUUUGAAUAGCCCACCAUCUGAUGAUGGUGGGCUAAAAAUACAUGUAUAUCUAACAGUAGGUUAUCUCGGGUAAUGUGAUUGUGGUCAGAAGGCAUCAGUUAAACCCCUCCAGAUGAAGUGAUUGUGGUCAGAAGGCAUCAGUUAAACCCCUCUAGGUGAUGUGAUUGUGGUCAGACAGCAUUAGUUAAACCCCUCUAGGUGAUGUGAUUGUGGUCAGAAGGCAUUAGUUAAACCCCUCUAGGUGAUGCGAUUGUGGUCAGGAAGAAUCGGUUAAACCCCUCUAGGUGAUGUGAUUGUGGUCAGAAGGCAUUAAACCCCUCUAGGUGAUGUGAUUGUGGUCAGGAAGAAUUAGUUAAACCCCUCUAGGUGAUGUGAUUGUGGUCAGAAGGAAUUAGUUAAACCCCUCUAGGUGAUGUGAUUGUGGUCAGGAAGAAUCGGUUAAACCCCUCUAGGUGAUGUGAUUGUGGUCAGACAGCAUUAGUUAAACCCCUCUAGGUGAUGUGAUUGUGGUCAGAAGGCAUCAGUUAAACCCCUCUAGGUGAUGUGAUUGUGGUCAGACAGCAUCAGUUAAACCCCUCUAGGUGAUGUGAUUGUGGUCAGAAGGUAUUAGUUAAACCCCUCCAGAUGAUGUGAUUGUGGUCAGGAAGAAUCAGUUAAACCCCUCUAGGUGAUGUGAUUGUGGUCAGACAGCAUCAGUUAAACCCCUCUAGGUGAUGCGAUUGUGGUCAGAAGGCAUUAGUUAAACCCCUCCAGAUGAUGUGAUUGUGGUCAGGAAGAAUCAGUUAAACCCCUCUAGGUGAUGUGAUUGUGGUCAGAAGGCAUUAGUUAAACCCCUCUAGGUGAUGUGAUUGUGGUCAGAAGGUAUUAGUUAAACCCCUCUAGGUGAUGUGAUUGUGGUCAGAAGGCAUUACUUAACUUAAACCCCUCUAACUCAAAACUGUUGGGUUAUUGAAAAGACGGCAAUACAGGAUAAAGAUUCAAUCCUAAUCAUUUCAUCCCUCAUAAUUUCAGUGUUUCAAAACGAUAAAUUUCAGCUUUGAACAGAGUAAAAAAAAAAAUUAACAAGGGUUUUUCAUUUGAUAAUCUUCCAAUAUAUUUAUUGGAAAAAUACCUCUUUAUUUGAAUGUUUUCAACAUGUUAAAUGUUAUUUGCUGCACAUUAAACAUAUUUUUCACUUUCGAAUCUAUUCUUCUUGCCUCUAGAUGCCUCCUGUAUUCUGACAGAUUGUGGUAUAUACUGGUAUUAACGUCAUUUUAUUCAGAAG